This 432-nucleotide ribosomal RNA is filed under the name uncultured bacterium. RNAcentral describes it as "bacterial SSU rRNA". It matches the Rfam family "Bacterial small subunit ribosomal RNA", at positions 29 to 506 of the family's 1533-position model. The record is from RNAcentral.
ACGAACGCUGGCGGCAUGCUUCAUACAUGCAAGUCGAACGCCCCGCAAGGGGAGUGGCGAACGGGUGAGUAACGCGUAGGAAUCUACCCUAGACUGGGGGACAACCUGGGGAAACUCGGGCUAAUACCGCAUAUUGCCGAAAGGUGAAAGAUUUAUCGGUCUAGGAUGAGCCUGCGUAUGAUUAGCUAGUUGGUAGGGUAAAAGCCUACCAAGGCAACGAUCAUUAGCUGGUUUGAGAGGAUGACCAGCCACAAUGGAACUGAUACACGGUCCAUACUUCUACGGAAGGCAGCAGUAGGGAAUUUUGCGCAAUGGACGAAAGUCUGACGCAGCAAUGCCGCGUGGAGGAAGACGCAUCUUGGUGUGUAAACUCCUGUCGGUGGGGAAAAAGAAAGUGAUUGUACCCACAAAGGAAGCAUCGGCUAACUACGU